This 724-nucleotide ribosomal RNA is filed under the name uncultured archaeon. RNAcentral describes it as "bacterial SSU rRNA". It matches the Rfam family "Archaeal small subunit ribosomal RNA", at positions 62 to 769 of the family's 1478-position model. The record is from RNAcentral.
ACCCGAACUAUGUCGGGGAGUGGCACACGGCUCAGUAACACGUAGCUAACCUAACCUAAGGGCGGAGAAAACCUCGGGAAACUGAGAUUAAUAACCGAUAGGUAUGAUGUCCUGGAAUGGUAUCAUGCCCAAAGGUGUUCACAGCAUGUUGUUAACAUGCCUUAGGAUGGGGCUGCGGCUGAUCAGGCUGUUGGUGAGGUAAUGGCUCACCAAACCUUUGACCAGUACGGGCCAUGAGAGUGGUAGCCCGGAGAUGGACACUGAGACAAGGGUCCAGGUUCUACGGAACGCAGCAUGCGCGAAACCUCCUCAAUGCACUCAAGUGCGAAGGGGUUACCUCGAGUGCCAUCUGAUGAAGGUGGCUUUUACGAAGUAUAACAAGCUUCGAGAAUAAGAGGGGGGCAAGACUGGUGUCAGCCGCCGCGGUAACACCAGCCCCUCGAGUGGUGGGGAUGAUUAUUUGGCCUAAAGCGUCCGUAGCCAGCCGUAUAAGUCUCCCGUUAAAUCCAGCGUCUCAAGCGUUGGACUGCGGGAGAUACUGCACGGCUAGAGGGUGGGAGAGGUAUGCGGUAUUCUGGGGGUAGGGGCGAAAUCCAUUGAUCCCCGGAGGACCACCAGUGGCGAAGGCUGCAUACUAGAACACGCCUGACGGUCAGGGACGAAAGCUGGGGUAGCGAACCGGAUUAGAUACCCGGGUAGUCCCAGCCGUAAACGAUGCACGCUA